RNAcentral lists this ribosomal RNA (828 nucleotides) under uncultured Actinomycetes bacterium. Its description in RNAcentral is "bacterial SSU rRNA". It matches the Rfam family "Bacterial small subunit ribosomal RNA", at positions 67 to 896 of the family's 1533-position model. The record is from RNAcentral. Lineage: Bacteria; Bacillati; Actinomycetota; Actinomycetes.
CAGCACUCUGUAGCAAUACAGGGUGUGGGCGCGUGGCGAACGGGUGCGUAACACGUGGAUAACCUUCCUUGAGGUGGGGAAUAACCCAGUGAAAAUUGGGCUAAUACCGCAUAACAUCGCGAUGGCACAUGCUGAUGCGAUCAAAGGCGCAAGUCGCCACAAGAGGGAUCCGCGGCCGAUUAGCUUGUUGGCGAGGUAAUGGCUCACCAAGGCAAUGAUCGGUAGCCGGACUGAGAGGUUGGCCGGCCACACUGGAACUGAGACACGGUCCAGACUCCUACGGGAGGCAGCAGUGGGGAAUCUUGCACAAUGGACGAAAGUCUGAUGCAGCAACGCCGCGUGGGGGAUGAAGCUUCUCGGAGUGUAAACCCCUUUCGACCCGGAAGAAUGCCCGCAAGGGUAUGACGGUACGGGUAUAAGAAGCCCCGGCUAACUACGUGCCAGCAGCCGCGGUAAUACGUAGGGGGCCAGCGUUGCUCGGAAUUACUGGGCGUAAAGGGUCCGUAGGCGGUGUAGCAAGUCGAUAGUGAAAUCUCUGGGCUUAACCCAGAGGCUGCUAACGAAACUGCUGUGCUAGAGUGUGAGAGAGGCGAGUGGAAUUACGGGUGUAGCGGUGAAAUGCGUAGAUAUCCGUAGGAACAUCCGAGGCGAAGGCGGCUCGCUGGAUCACAACUGACGCUGAGGGACGAAAGCUAGGGGAGCAAACAGGAUUAGAUACCCUGGUAGUCCUAGCCCUAAACCAUCAGGACUUGGGGUUUGCCCUGUACGGGGCAAGUCCCGUAGCUAACGCGUUAAGUCCUGCGCCUGGGGAGUACGGUCGCAAGGCUG